RNAcentral lists this ribosomal RNA (612 nucleotides) under uncultured bacterium. RNAcentral's name for it is "bacterial SSU rRNA". The stretch from base 1 to 519 matches the Rfam family "Bacterial small subunit ribosomal RNA", at positions 338 to 873 of the family's 1533-position model. The record is from RNAcentral.
CCUACGGGAGGCAGCAGUGGGGAAUAUUGGACAAUGGGCGAAAGCCUGAUCCAGCAAUGCCGCGUGAGUGAUGAAGGCCUUAGGGUUGUAAAGCUCUUUUACUAGGGAUGAUAAUGACAGUACCUGGAGAAUAAGCUCCGGCUAACUCCGUGCCAGCAGCCGCGGUAAUACGGAGGGAGCUAGCGUUGUUCGGAAUUACUGGGCGUAAAGAGUACGUAGGCGGUGAUUCAAGUCAGAGGUGAAAGCCUGGAGCUCAACUCCAGAACUGCCUUUGAAACUAGAUCGCUAGAAUCAUGGAGAGGUUAGUGGAAUUCCGAGUGUAGAGGUGAAAUUCGUAGAUAUUCGGAAGAACACCAGUGGCGAAGGCGACUAACUGGACAUGUAUUGACGCUGAGGUACGAAAGCGUGGGGAGCAAACAGGAUUAGAUACCCUGGUAGUCCACGCCGUAAACGAUGAUAACUAGCUGUUCGGGGUCUACGAUCCUGAGUGGCGCNGCUACGACAUUAAGUUAGUCCGUCCGUGGGUAGGUACGGUCGCGAGAAGUUAAACGUUAAAGGUAAAGUUAGUUACGGUCGUUGAGACGUUGCCGACGGCGACGACGAGGGAGGAGG